GAGUUUGAUCUUGGCUCAGAUUGAACGCUGGCGGCAUGCCUUACACAUGCAAGUCGAACGGCAGCACGGGAGCUUGCUCCUGGUGGCGAGUGGCGAACGGGUGAGUAAUGCAUGGGAACGUAUCCUGGAGUGGGGGAUAACGUAGCGAAAGUUACGCUAAUACCGCAUAUUCUGUGAGCAGGAAAGCGGGGGACCUUCGGGCCUCGCGCUCUUGGAGCGGCCGAUGUCGGAUUAGCUAGUUGGUGAGGUAAAGGCUCACCAAGGCGACGAUCCGAAGCAGGUCUGAGAGGAUGAUCUGCCACACUGGAACUGAGACACGGUCCAGACUCCUACGGGAGGCAGCAGUGGGGAAUUUUGGACAAGUGGGGACAACCCUGAUCCAGCCAUCGCCGCGUGAGU
This 399-nucleotide ribosomal RNA is filed under the name bacterium enrichment culture clone ALO1_GLFRUDD03GNYZQ. RNAcentral describes it as "bacterial SSU rRNA". It matches the Rfam family "Bacterial small subunit ribosomal RNA", at positions 9 to 406 of the family's 1533-position model. The record is from RNAcentral.